This 480-nucleotide long non-coding RNA is filed under the name Homo sapiens (human). RNAcentral's name for it is "HSALNT0398425". Lineage: Eukaryota; Metazoa; Chordata; Mammalia; Primates; Hominidae. The record is from RNAcentral.
GGGAGUUCUCGGUGCUGUAGGCUUUCGGGACGCUGUGUAUGCCCGGCAGGGGCUUCCAGUGGGGGCCACCCCAAGUCGCCUCCAGCGGGCGGAAGCGGUCGAGCCGGCGGAGCGGGUGCGGCGAGGAGCUGUAGGUUUCCUGAGCCGGAGACAUGGCCCGCCGUGCGGCGCUCGAGGCGGCCUGGAAGAGCAGAGACAGGGCUGCCGCUGCGGGUCGUGACUCCAGAGUUGGGGCGUCUCUUCUAAGCUCCAGUAGCCAACUGUAGUCAUGGUGACUACCGCCCACCAGAAGGACUCAGGGAUGCUAGUGAAAUGGGAGUCCACCCGGUCAACUUCGGCAAAGUAGACGGCGCUGGAAAAGAGGACCACACCGAUGAAGAGGAAAAAGAUGAGGAGGCCCAGCUCACGCAUGGAGGCCCGAAGCGUCUGGCCCAAGAUUUGCAGGCCCUUUGAGUGCCGGGACAGCUUGAAGAUGCGGAA